This is a long non-coding RNA of Homo sapiens (human), 8795 nucleotides long. RefSeq lists it as uncharacterized. Lineage: Eukaryota; Metazoa; Chordata; Mammalia; Primates; Hominidae. The transcript has 2 exons. The record is from RefSeq and is a predicted model, not a curated record.
AAUAGUAUGCCAUCAUUAAACAGUUUUUGACCUUACGCAGAAACUUUAAAUGUGACAGCAGAAAGAAGCAGCAGAAAUUUACAGUGAGAAAUGGAAGACCUCUGUAGGUAAAUAAGUAAAAUGAAAGAAGCCAGAGGUGUUUUUUGUUGGCAGUAGAUGAAAUUAUUUUCAAACACUGCCCUGGGAAAAGGUGAGCCCUCAGCAACCAAGUUUAUUGACUGUCUAUUCAGGAAAUUGUAUUAGUUGCUUUGGAAAGAGAAAGGAAAAAGAAAAGACUUUCUGCCAACUGAGGGCUGGAAAACUUGAGGGAGAUAAAGUAUUUACAUGCUUUAAUAACAUAAAGCAUGUCCAAAAGAAAUACAUAAUUACAGCUAUGUUUGGCACUGAAAAUAAUCCAGGUUAUUAUAUUUUUAAAAUUGUGUGUGAAUAUGUAAGUGAAUGCCCUUGAGUCAGAAAUGCUUGAGUGAUAAUAUUUCUUGAGAGAAUGGAAAAGUAGAUGGUAUUAGGAGCUAAAAAGAGAGAGAAGGGAUAAAGGAUGACCACUAGUUAAGAAGGAACAGUGAACUUUUUUUCUUUAGAGGGGACAUAUUUCAUAUGCAUAGUUAUUCCCCCUCUACUUCUAAUCUUAGUAUAAUAAGCAUUUAACUUCCCAUAGGACCUUAGCAGUCUGCAUGUUAUUACUAAAAGCCCACAGGUAAGGGAAAAUUAGACCCCUAAAUUAAAGACCUGACCAUCUUGCUCCUGAAGUUUUAGGUUUUCCAACUUUAUUUCCAGUGUAUCUUGGACAAAGACCCUUUGAGAGCUCAGAAAAUUAGGAGAUGUGGUCAACACAUUCUUCUUAAUAUCUAGUGCAACCAAAGACUUGGCCAGCAACUAAGGCCAGCAACUGGAAAAUGGGUGUGGUGUCAGGUUUCAGACGCCCCCAUAGUUGUCUUCACGUCCUUUAAUAUGUGUUGGCAUCCCUCAAGCCCUGCCAGUUUAUGCUCUUUCCUUUGUGAAGCCUUCCUGCCCUGCCCAGGAAAAAGUAAUGCCAUCCCCCAUCCCCCAUCCCCCAGUGACCAUAAAUAGCACUUUCUCCUUCCCCUGUUAUAGCACUUUUCAUACUGUGUUAGAGUUCACAUUUCUGUCUCUCUGCCUCAUUGUGAUCUAUUUGAGUGCCAGGAUUGUGUGUUAUUCUAGCGCUUGGCACACAGGAAGAACUCAAUGAGCAUUUGUUGACUAAAUCUAGACUCAAGGUCAUCCAAGAUAUUAUACAAAAACUUUUUCAUCGAACCAUUUGGUCUGCAUUGUGGAAACUGAAACGAAUGGCACUCCCCGUUAAGAGAAUCCCAGUGAGAAGCCAUAGCAUUGCAGGAGGAAGCUCAAACUGGUUAACUUUGCUCAUGCCGAUCAGUCUUAGAAUUUUUUGUAAUGUUUCCAUGAUGAAUUAGUUUCAGCUGUAUUUUUUUGGCAAAUAUUUAAAGAUAAUUUUUAUUUGUGUGGACUUUUCUUCUUGUCAGUUUGUCAUAAAGGUGUCAUCUUUCAUUCACUAACCCCUUAUCAGCUUAUAGGAAUUUUCCUCGUGGGUGGUUGCUUGUAACCUUCUCUUGACUGCCAGGGAUCUGAUAUACUAAACGGUUGAGAUACUGUGGUGAUCAGCUGCUUGUAAACAAUAACUGAUAAAUCGGUUAUAAAUUAUCAACACACUUCAGAUGACCAUAUCAUCAUGACUUGGUGAUAGCAAAAUAGACUUCUGAAUUCUCAGCUAAUCCAGGAUUGUGUCUUAACAAACAUUUAUGUUGAUUAAUCAGGAGGGUGUUUAGUUUAAGAAACAUGUACUGAAUGUUCAAUAUGUGAGUGCCAAGUGCAGUGUGGUGCAACCUGUUUACUGCUUCAGGUGAUCUCCAGAUAUCCUAAGGAAUUUUUAACUGUACAGCUUCUUUGGGGAAGGAAAUCCUAAGCCAACAACCUGAGGGUGGAAGUGUGUGACUGGGAAUAAUUAAAAUGCCUCACAAUGGUUCGAGCAGGAAUUCCAUAGGAAUGCACUUUAAGGCAUUUAGGAAAGCAAAAUUCCGUUUGGAUUUACUCCAAACCCUAUGACUUCAGAGACAGGAAUUUUUGAUGAUUAGUGGCUGGAGCCCCAACUUGUUAUUUAGUAAUUCCACAUUCAGUGUGGAAUUGUUUUUUCUGUAGCACUAGUUAUAAGUUCUUUGUUUGUUUUUCUAAAGGUUUUAAGGAGGUUUACAAAUUAAGAUGGAAUAAGACAUUAGAAACUUAAGGAUACAUAGCAAAUUAAAACCUUGAUACAUUUGGUGCUAAGCUUUUCAGCUGCUAAAGAUAGAGAGUUUUGGCCAAGAUAAAGUAUAUAGAGUCAAAGACACAUGCAGAAUUCUCCUGGAUAUAAGUUCAGGUACCUGUGCCAUUUUAUCACUUUAGUCAAUGUGCCCAUUUUCUUAGGGCAGGUUUAAUUUUCUGCUGCGGCAUGGCCCUUCAGCUUUCCCAAGUUUACGAUGCUCAUCUCAUACCUGAUGGAAAUUGUUGAUAAUGUUAGUGUAUGGUUGGUGGCUUUCCCAGUAGCCCACUUCAGAUCCUUUUAUUGGUCAUCACCAGUUACAAAAGUUUUAGGAAAGGGAAGGAGAGAAGCUGGAACUGAUGGCUAAGUAAAGUUAUAGCUGUAGAGCUCUGGUUGUCCAUAAUGAACAGUGGCAAUGAACAGUGAAGAUUUAAGCAAGGUUAUUUUUUGAGGGUCCACUGAUGAUUUUCCUAUAACUCGUUAAAAAUAUUUUUAAAACUUUUAUAUGGCUUCAUAUAAAAAAAGCUUAAAAAUCUGUUCCCAGACUUCCUAGGCAGGUAUGUUUUCUUUUCAGUGUUGCCUUCUCUAAGACUUUAUCAGCAGAAGGAGUAUUUGAGCUGAUGGCAAAUGCUGCCAAAAUGAGAAGUGUGUGUGUUUCUCAAAACUCAUGAUCCCACAGUUAAAUCGAGGGUGUGGGUAAAGGACCCAGAACUGUUCUUGCUGAUGGAAUAGCACACUUUUCCUCAGACAUUAGUAGAGUAAAUGAAUGGAGGCAGAGGAUUGGGAAACACUCUUGAAGGAGGGAGUGCCCAUCAGCCUGUAAGCCAAAGUAAACAGUUCUUGUAACUGAAAAAUAGACUUCCUGGAAGGAGAGAACCAGAGAAGUGGGUGUGAAGUGCAACCAGCAAGUACCAUUUUCAGUGAUACAGACAGCUGGCUUAACCUGAGUCCUGACAAGAACCUCUCAGAGCUAUUUGGGGAAAUCAGUUGCUUGAACCAGCCUUUGACUGGCCUAUCGUUCCUACAGCUGUACCCAAAGAUGGCACUUGGGGAGAAAAGGUCACAUUUGUUUGUGAUAGAGAAAGCAAACCGAUGGGGCAUUUUGAGAGGUAGAAAUGAAGUCAUCAUUUGCGGAGCCGGUGGACCAGCAGAAUGGCCGUGGGAAGGUAUCCCUGAACCUGUAUGUGUGGAAAUGCAGGCAUUCUCUGUCAGUCUUUUGUCACAGUGAGAAAAUGUCAUUACAGUGGACAGCUAUGCACACGUUGGAGAUUAUGUGAUGUGUGCAUGUGCAUCCAUGUGUACAACAUACACCCAUGCAAAAAUUGCUCACAGGGUCAUGUGCGUGUCCUGGUAGUCUGUUAUGUCCAUUCUUCUGUAAUAGGAGUAUGUUUUUCAAACUGAAGCUGUUAGGUUCUGUUAAUUCCAACAGAACAAAAAAAAAUCUGCCUCUGGCCAUCAUUCGUUAAUUUACAUAGAUUAGAUACAUGUAGUCUGUCUCCUAAGUGGCUUACAUAAAGCCGUGGGCGUCUUUUCCUGUGUCUCCUCUUCGGCAGUUCCUAAGGCACCUACCAGGUUUAUAGUUGCUGAUGUCCUACCCAUACUAUGUGUCAAGAAAGGUAGACUCAAAAAGGAUUGAUGCAGAUAUUCCUUAGAAGUUUUCAUGCCCAAAGAUUCUUGGACCUUAGUUGCAUGAGGGAAGAGGCCUUGCCUCGUGAAAGGAGACCGAAGCCCCUUAUUAAAGGGGUCACUCAGAAAAAGGUGUUAUCUAAAUUCCCUCUUUGUAGUUUUAUUUCUUCAAUGUAUUCCCCAUCACUAGCUGUGUGUGCUGGAGCCAAAUGUUGGGCCCACUGCCAUCUUUUAAAGAAUGCUACUGUAAAGGGAUAACUUUACUAGACAGUUUGGGAAAUAGAAGAAACAAUUAUCUAAAAUGCUCUUGUUCCAAACACAAAAACUAGCUUCAUGUUUUUGUGUAUAACCCUGCCUAGUCUUACUCUGUAGACAUCCUUCCCCCCACACCCAUCGUGUAUGUUUUUUAUCCCCAUCUAACAUUAUAUCAAAUACAUUGUCCUAUGUUGCUACCUUGUCUUCAUUAUUAUGAUUUGUCAAGCAAUUGGGUUGUACUGACUGCAGUGUUACUCCUCAUUUCCUUUCCCCCUUUCUUUUCCAUACUACUUAAAAAGCAAGAAAGGAAAAAAAAUUCUAUUUAAGAGAAAAUCCUAUGUAGUCGUAAUGGAAUUUAUUUUCCUGAGUGCCUGGGCGUGCUCCAAACAGAUAGCUGUGAUUGUGUCAUCUCUUCUUACUAAGCAUCUGACCACUCACUACCUGUGCAUCUGAUCCCUAGGCUCAUGGCAUGAGGGCUGUGGCUCUUGAUGUUUUUUUUUUUGAUGUGCUUAGUAUCACCAGAACUGUAUUGACUCUAAGAGUAUGGAAGCUUUGUAAAGUUAACUAACGAUUUGUAGGUUUUGUGCAAAUAGCCAGCUCUCCAGGUAGAGACAUUUUAAUUCUGUUGCUUUUUUUUUUUGUAGCAUAUUAUUAUAUUGCAGAUGUUUACUUAGUAUGAAAAAUGGAUAUAAUUAAGUUCUAAAUGGGUACUAGAUAUUAACUUCAAAAUGAAUUUGCAACUUGUAUGCUUUGCAUAUGCCGUAUGCUUUGCAUAUGCCAUAUGCUGUUGUUUCCAAGGAUGUAAAGCAGUUUUCCACUUCCACCAUCUUAUAAAUUAAAACCAGAGGGCUAGACGUUAUCCAGCAAGGGACCUACAAAAUUCGAAAAAAAACUUCGGAUCAUUAUCAGGAUUAAGUUUGUUGAAAUUGUAUCAGGAAAAUAGACUUUUCCUUGUAUUAUUAUUGACUCAUAUAAUGCAACUCAUACUGGUUUCAUAUUCAGAAGGUAUAUAGCACCUGUUGUAAUAUUUCAGGUUGAUUUCUGCAAUCUUUAUUUAAAAAUACAAAUCCGCAAAGCAAAUUGCAUAAACGGUAUACAAAAUGAAAUCACCAGGCUUCAAAUAUAUUUUAUGUAAAUGUUAAGUGCUCUUUAGAUUAGCAAAAGGAAGACAAACAUUUUGAUUACCUCUUUAAUACUAAAUUUUUGUUUCUGAAUUAUAAAUCUUUGAAGAUAUAAUUAGUGUAAGAUAUAUACCAAUCAACAUAGUCCAGAAAACCCUGAACCUGGCUGCUUAUUAGUUGGAAAGAGUACCUAUUUAGACUUUCUAAGCCACAGUAUGUGGCUAAGUGAUUAAUAUGCACUAUUACACUUUCACAAAUACUUUUUGGACCAACAUAUUGACUUAAGGGAGCAUACUUUGUACUAAAAAACUAAUUUGAAGGUGAAAUCACAGCAAAUUUAACAGUUCAACCUUGUGUAUUUGUAGAGUUUUAGUUGGAUCAUAGGAUAAUGACAUUAGCUAAAGUCAGCAAGCAUGUAAAAUAAACAUUUUGAAGUUUAAUAGUCAUUUAUGUUCUACAAUAAUAAAUAUUUGGCACCCACCAUAACCACCACUACCAAAAUAUGUAUGCUGAAAUUGUGUCUCCAGGAUGAAUAAAGAGGUGUAAGGCAAGCUGACACCCAUUAGAAAAAAAGGUUUAGAAAGGGAGAGAGGGCCUGGACUUCCCUAAGCUUAACCCCAACAUAGGGCCUGUAGCUCCUGUUGGAACCAAUUUAUAAAACUUCAAGGUGGGAAUCAAUAGAUUGUUUCCAGUGUUAUAUAGUUCCUCUUUAAUCAGUUGAUCUUCAACCAAAGCUUCAAGUGGUUUUUGUUUUUAUUUAUUGCCAAAAGCUUCUUAACCAAUGUGAUUAUAAAUGUUUAAAUUCAUUUACAGUGAAAUGGAUUUGUAUCUUCCUUGCUCUACAGUAGAUAGUGAAGCCUCCGUGACCUGUGUAAGCUGCAGGUUGAGGAGAAUGUUUAAACAGUAGGCGAGCGUUCAUACAGUGUCCCUGGACUGCAUUUCCUUGCUUACAGAGCCUUGGAGCUGGGCCAACUCGCAUGAGCGGGAGGAGGAGAGGCUCAGUUUUGAGAGCCCUGGGUUUAUUUCUGGCUGUGGGGAUACGAGAAUGUGGGAGAAGGUGUAAACAUAGUUUGAGGGAGGUCGUAGACUUGGAGGUUCUUGCCAGGGGUAAAUGCUGGCUGGAUUUGUUUAUGGAUGGAUUUGAUUAUAGCUGCUUCACGCUUUUACCUCUGGAGUUGGUGCUUCCAAGGGGUGAUGCUCAUUGUCUGGAUCUCCUUUAGUGGGCAUCUCAGAAUUCUUUGCUGCACCAACCACAGCAUUUCUUUUCCCUUUCUUUUGGUAUUUGUAUUCAAAUGCCUGACUUCCUGACCUGCUGUGAGGGUUUUUAAAAAUAAUGAACACCAAGCUUCUUGGGAAAAGACAGGUAUGUAAAUACUGCAAGCUUAUAGCAUUUGGGGGAUGGAGUUGUGGGAUUUUGGAGUUUGUGACCCCCAUGUGUCUGUGUAUCACUCUCUCUAAUGUAGAGAGACAGAGCAGCAGUUCCUGAGCUCUGUCUUUUGUCUCUUCAUGGGUUGGUCACUGAUUUCCCCUUUCAGGGUCUGAAUCCCUUUCCCUUGCCUCCCCCCAUGUGGGUUCCGGAAGGCCCACAUCCAACAGCUGCCCUUGGUCAACCCCCAGCCCUGCACACAGGUGUUUUCUGCUGUUCAGAGCUCAGGGGCGCUGUCCAGCCAGCUGAUGACAGCUCACUGGUGGCGCUGGUCUCACUCCAGUGCUGGCUCUGCCCUCUUGGCCCUGUUGCUUCCUCCUUGGAGGAUUAGUCACCCCAGUCUUGGGGCAUUUUACCCACCUGUAUGACUAGCACACAUUGCAUCCACUUGCCAAGGAGUGUUAGGGAUACAGUCUCAAGAAAACCUGCCCAGUAGAAAUGACUUCCUCUGGAGAAAUUUAGAUGAUAAAUUCCAUAGGGAGAAAUCAUGUUUUAUUAAUGAGAAACAAAAUCGUGCACUAGUGGGAGUUCAGGCUCAGAAGCCAGUGCAUAGUCCAGCCUGGCGACCUGGCAUGGUGUGUUACCCUGGCCAAAGCUCCCCAACCUCUGUUCAUGAUUUCCCUCUGUAAAAUGGGAAUAACAAUAGUAUCCAUUUCUUUUGGGUGGUUAUAAGGAAUACUUAAGUUAACUCAUUCAUGUAAAGCACUUGAAUAGUGGCUUGUAUACAGUAAGCACACAGUAAAUGUACAUUGUCAUUGUAUCUUUGUACCUCAACAUCUGAAACUAUGGUUUAUACAUAGCACAUACUCAUUCAUGCUUUGUUGAGUAAAUGUAAUAUUCAGAAGGUGGGAAAGUGAUUUCCUUCUCUCUUAUCAUAAAAUAAGAGUUAUAUUUGGUUGAAAUAAGGCAUCAUAGGCCUGAAGACAUUUACUCCCUGGCUGCUGGCAGGGGAGUAGAAUGUUCCAAACUCUAUGUUGAUAACUGGGUGCCUAUGAUUUGUUAAUCAUACCUAACAAACUCAGUCUGUCAGGUGUUUCAGUAAAAUUUACUGACUCCCAAGGUAAUUUUGAAAGGACAAAGCCAUCAGGUGAUUUGUUUUCAAUAAGCAUUAUUGGGAUAUUUCAGACUCCAACAUGUGCAGUGGAGAUAUUAACGAGACUUUACCCUUUCUAAACUUAGGGGCUUACUCUGCAUUGUAACGUAUGUUUGCUUUUAAGGCGAUAGAUGGGUAGAUAGAUGCUCUGUAAUUGAAUAGCCUACUGGGCUUCUGUGUAGCACAGCACUGUGUAAGUCGCAGGUGUUCAGUAAAUGUAUUUUAAAUCAAUGAGUAAUUGAUGGGAUAUUUUUCUUCACAUUACAUCACAUUGAAGAUGCUUGUGAGGAAGUUUUGUUCAUGAUUGUCCUCCUAGGCAGGCGCCACCUAACAUGUUUCUCUCUAGCUGCGGGGUAUUGAAUUUGAGGCUGCUCUCAGCAUUACUGCUCAUCUCAAAGAGGAACAAAUGGUCCCCCAAAUGGUCCAGAUGCAACAGUAGGGAAAGGAGUGCCACCAUUCAUUCUGAGGUGCCUGGGCCAUACUCUGGAUGAAGCUCACAGCUCUAACGUAAGGCGGUAAGUCAUUUUUUUUUUAAACUUAAGGAAGUUAAUUUGAAAGUUUAUGCUGAUGCCAUUUCAUAUGACAGAGACUAAAGGGUAUACGUCCUUGUGUUCUCUUGGUGGGGACUGCUGUCCUAAAGGUAAAAGAUUUUGAUCCAGAGGUUGGAUUGUUCCUCGUGUGGCAACAGUCCUCUGACCUCAGUCAUUUUCAAAGUCUAAUGUCUUUUUGGCUAACAAAAGACAUCAAGCUAGAGAUUAAAAUUUGCAGAAGAUGGGAGUUUUUUUGUUGUUUUCGGUUUUUUUUUUUUUUUUUUUUGAGACGGAGUCUCACUCUGUCACCCAGGCUGGAGUGCAGGUGAUCAUAUCUACAAAGGUGACAAGAACAUGAACCUGCAGUCCUGUUAUCAGCAUUUUGUCUCUGUGUUCCAGAUUUUUUUUUGUAACUAUGAAAUCCUUGCCUUGUAGUCAACUUAAAAUGAAAUAAAUUUAUCAGUGCAAAUGA